This 253-nucleotide ribosomal RNA is filed under the name uncultured bacterium. RNAcentral describes it as "partial 16S ribosomal RNA". It matches the Rfam family "Bacterial small subunit ribosomal RNA", at positions 524 to 776 of the family's 1533-position model. The record is from RNAcentral.
UACGUAGGGGGCAAGCGUUAUCCGGAAUUACUGGGUGUAAAGGGAGCGUAGACGGUAAUGUAAGUCUGGAGUGAAAGGCGGGGGCCCAACCCCCGGACUGCUCUGGAAACUAUGUUACUAGAGUGCAGGAGAGGUAAGCGGAAUUCCUAGUGUAGCGGUGAAAUGCGUAGAUAUAUGGAGGAACACCGGUGGCGAAAGCGGCUCUCUGGCCUGUAACUGACACUGAGGCUCGAAAGCGUGGGGAUCGAACAGG